GUGGGGAAUAUUGGACAAUGGGCGAAAGCCUGAUCCAGCCAUGCCGCGUGUGUGAAGAAGGUCUUCGGAUUGUAAAGCACUUUAAGUUGGGAGGAAGGGCAGUAAGUUAAUACCUUGCUGUUUUGACGUUACCGACAGAAUAAGCACCGGCUAACUUCGUGCCAGCAGCCGCGGUAAUACGAAGGGUGCAAGCGUUAAUCGGAAUUACUGGGCGUAAAGCGCGCGUAGGUGGUUUUGUAAGUUGGAGGUGAAAUCCCCGGGCUCAAACUGGGAACUGCCUCCAAAACUGCAUGACUAGAGUACGGUAGAGGGUAGUGGAAUUUCCUGUGUAGCGGUGAAAUGCGUAGAUAUAGGAAGGAACACCAGUGGCGAAGGCGACUACCUGGACUGAUACUGACACUGAGGUGCGAAAGCGUGGGGAGCAAACAGGAUUAGAAACCCCUGUAGUCC
Molecule: ribosomal RNA, 450 nt
Filed under: uncultured bacterium
Lineage: Bacteria
Description: partial 16S ribosomal RNA
Rfam family: Bacterial small subunit ribosomal RNA
Source: RNAcentral